GUCGCUACGAGGGAGUGGACCAUUUACUGAAGUCUUUGGACUGGAGUGUUGUUGGUUUUACCGAUAUCACUUCGGAAAUUAGCCUAAAGUUGAUGGUCUCGACCACGUAA
Molecule: ribosomal RNA, 110 nt
Filed under: uncultured eukaryote
Lineage: Eukaryota
Description: partial small subunit ribosomal RNA
Source: RNAcentral